This 1547-nucleotide ribosomal RNA is filed under the name metagenome. RNAcentral describes it as "bacterial LSU rRNA". It matches the Rfam family "Bacterial large subunit ribosomal RNA", at positions 1305 to 2925 of the family's 2925-position model. The record is from RNAcentral.
UGUAGCGAGAAUUAUGUGAGAAUCAUAAUGGCCGAAAAUCUAAGGUUUCUUGGGGAAGGUUCGUCCGCCCAAGGUUAGUCGGGAGCUAAGCUCAGGCCGAAAGGCGUAGGCGAUGCACAUACGGUAGAAAUUCCGUAACCACCGAACAUUUAAGCUAGAGGGACGCUUUUAUUAAGUCUAUCCCGGGCGAUGGUUGCCCCGGGCGUAAGGGACCGAAAUUUAGUAGGGAAGUAGACGGCGUGAGAGACGAGAAAAGCUCUAGUGUAUACUAAGGUGCCCGUACCGCAAACCGACACAGGUAGAUGGGAUGAGUAUUCUAAGGCCAACGGGAGAAGGGUUGUUAAGGAACUCGGCAAAUUGGCCCCGCAACUUCGGGAUAAGGGGCGCCUGCGAGAGCAGGCCGCAGUGAAAAGGCCCAAGCGACUGUUUAGCAAAAACACAGCUCUCUGCUAAAUCGAAAGAUGACGUAUAGGGGGUGACGCCUGCCCGGUGCUGGAAGGUUAAGGGGAGUGCUUAGCGCAAGCGAAGGUGCGAACUUAAGCCCCAGUAAACGGCGGCCGUAACGAUAACGGUCCUAAGGUAGCGAAAUUCCUUGUCAGGUAAGUUCUGACCCGCACGAAUGGCGUAACGAUUUGGGCACUGUCUCAACAGCCCGCCCGGCGAAAUUGUAGUACCGGUGAAGAUGCCGGUUUCCCGCAACUAGACGGAAAGACCCCAUGGAGCUUCACUGUAGCUUGAUAUUGGAUCUCGGUAUUCCAUGUACAGGAUAGGUGGGAGGCUAGGAAGCGAGCGCGCCAGCGUUCGUGGAGCCAACCUUGGGAUACCACUCUUGGGAUAUUGGGAUUCUAACCUGCGACCAUGAAUCUGGUCGGGGGACACUGUCAGGUGGGCAGUUUGACUGGGGCGGUCGCCUCCAAAAGAGUAACGGAGGCGCUCAAAGGUUCGUUCAGCACGGAUGGAAAUCGUGCACUGAGUGUAAACGCAUAAACGAGCCUAACUGCGAGAAUGACGGUUCGGGCAGUAACGAAAGUUGGAGUUAGUGAUCCGGCGGUAUGUGAAUGGAAAUGCCGUCGCUCAACGGAUAAAAGCUACCCUAGGGAUAACAGGCUGAUCUCCCCCAAGAGUCCACAUCGACGGGGAGGUUUGGCACCUCGAUGUCGGCUCAUCGCAUCCUGGGGCUGAAUUCGGUCCCAAGGGUUUGGCUGUUCGCCAAUUAAAGCGGUACGCGAGCUGGGUUCAGAACGUCGUGAGACAGUUCGGUCCCUAUCUGUUGCGGGCGCAGGAAUAUUGAGAGGAGCUGUCCUUAGUACGAGAGGACCGGGAUGGACGUACCGCUGGUGCACCAGUUGUUCUGCCAAGGGCAUAGCUGGGUAGCUAAGUACGGACGAGAUAAACGCUGAAGGCAUCUAAGCGUGAAACUCCCCUCGAGAUAAGUGUUCCCAUCCUUCGGGAGUAAGGCCCCUUGUAGACUACAAGGUUGAUAGGUCAGGAGUGGAAGUGCAGUAAUGUAUGGAGCGGACUGAUACUAAUAGGCCGAGGGCUUGACU